This 363-nucleotide long non-coding RNA is filed under the name Capra hircus (goat). Its description in RNAcentral is "lncRNA (ENSCHIG00000002657.1)". Lineage: Eukaryota; Metazoa; Chordata; Mammalia; Artiodactyla; Bovidae. The record is from RNAcentral.
ACACCAUAUGAAAUGCUGAAAUGUAAUCUUUGGAUAACCCUGACGACAUUAUGAAUUGACCACAAACAUAGUAAUAAGAGGUUUUGUUGUAUGCAUUCAGAAUCCGAAGGAUAGAGCCAUCCUCUGUUGUGAAGCAGUGGCCUUUGUUCAUCAGUGUCUGUGUUAUGGCGGAUUCAUGAGUUUGAUGAGGAGUAAACUCCAGGAGUCGUCAAUGGACAGGGAGGCCUGGCCUGCUGCAGUCCAUGGGGUCGCAAAGAGUCAGGUACAACUGAACAACUGAACUGAACUGAAAGCAGAAGCUCUGAUGAAGUGAACUUUAACCCUACCACAAGUGAAAAUUUCACUUAUUUUUAUAUUUUUUAG